RNAcentral lists this ribosomal RNA (1358 nucleotides) under Arthrobacter sp. KRM_23. Its description in RNAcentral is "bacterial SSU rRNA". It matches the Rfam family "Bacterial small subunit ribosomal RNA", at positions 66 to 1431 of the family's 1533-position model. The record is from RNAcentral. Lineage: Bacteria; Bacillati; Actinomycetota; Actinomycetes; Micrococcales; Micrococcaceae.
ACGAUGAUCUCCAGAUUGCUGGGGGGAUUAGUGGCGAACGGGUGAGUAACACGUGAGUAACCUGCCCUUGACUCUGGGAUAAGCCUGGGAAACUGGGUCUAAUACCGGAUAUGACUUCUCAUCGCAUGGUGGGGGGUGGAAAGCUUUUUGUGGUUUUGGAUGGACUCGCGGCCUAUCAGCUUGUUGGUGGGGUAAUGGCCUACCAAGGCGACGACGGGUAGCCGGCCUGAGAGGGUGACCGGCCACACUGGGACUGAGACACGGCCCAGACUCCUACGGGAGGCAGCAGUGGGGAAUAUUGCACAAUGGGCGCAAGCCUGAUGCAGCGACGCCGCGUGAGGGAUGACGGCCUUCGGGUUGUAAACCUCUUUCAGUAGGGAAGAAGCCUUUCGGGGUGACGGUACUUGCAGAAGAAGCGCCGGCUAACUACGUGCCAGCAGCCGCGGUAAUACGUAGGGCGCAAGCGUUAUCCGGAAUUAUUGGGCGUAAAGAGCUCGUAGGCGGUUUGUCGCGUCUGCUGUGAAAGACCGGGGCUCAACUCCGGUUCUGCAGUGGGUACGGGCAGACUAGAGUGCRGUAGGGGAGACUGGAAUUCCUGGUGUAGCGGUGAAAUGCSCAGAUAUCAGGAGGAACACCGAUGGCGAAGGCAGGUCUCUGGGCUGUAACUGACGCUGAGGAGCGAAAGCAUGGGGAGCGAACAGGAUUAGAUACCCUGGUAGUCCAUGCCGUAAACGUUGGGCACUAGGUGUGGGGGACAUYMCACGUUUUCCGCGCCGUAGCUAACGCAYUAAGUGCCCCGCCUGGGGAGUACGGCCGCAAGGCUAAAACUCARAGGAAUUGACGGGGGCCCGCACAAGCGGCGGAGCAUGCGGAUUAAUUCGAUGCAACGCGAAGAACCUUACCAAGGCUUGACAUGGACCGGAAAGACCUGGAAACAGGUGCCCCGCUUGCGGCCGGUUUACAGGUGGUGCAUGGUUGUCGUCAGCUCGUGUCGUGAGAUGUUGGGUUAAGUCCCGCAACGAGCGCAACCCUCGUUCUAUGUUGCCAGCGGUUCGGCCGGGGACUCAUAGGAGACUGCCGGGGUCAACUCGGAGGAAGGUGGGGACGACGUCAAAUCAUCAUGCCCCUUAUGUCUUGGGCUUCACGCAUGCUACAAUGGCCGGUACAAAGGGUUGCGAUACUGUGAGGUGGAGCUAAUCCCAAAAAGCCGGUCUCAGUUCGGAUUGGGGUCUGCAACUCGACCCCAUGAAGUCGGAGUCGCUAGUAAUCGCAGAUCAGCAACGCUGCGGUGAAUACGUUCCCGGGCCUCGUACACACCGCCCGUCAAGUCACGAAAGUUGGUAACACCCGAAGCCGGU